AUACUCUGGUUUCUCUUCAAAUUGUAUAAAUCUUUUGCCUUUUACUCAA
Molecule: small nuclear RNA, 49 nt
Filed under: Cervus elaphus hippelaphus
Lineage: Eukaryota; Metazoa; Chordata; Mammalia; Artiodactyla; Cervidae
Source: RNAcentral